Long non-coding RNA from Exaiptasia diaphana, 339 nucleotides. RefSeq lists it as uncharacterized. NCBI's taxonomy places the organism in Eukaryota, Metazoa, Cnidaria, Anthozoa, Actiniaria, Aiptasiidae. The record is from RefSeq and is a predicted model, not a curated record. The transcript is spliced from 2 exons.
GAUGAAGGGCGUACUUGUCGUGGUCGCAGUAGCGGCGUUGGUACUCUUUGGGRUGUUUAUUYAAGAUAGCCAAGCGUUAUUAAAUGGACCUUUUUUACCAACAACAACAGGAACGGGCAAGAGAUCGAUAAGGAGAAAUAAUCCAUCGGCUUACAAACACAAGAAAACUGAAGAACUUGAUCUUCAAAAUAUUUGUGAAACAGCGAAAAUAUUGGGAUGCAAUAAUAAAUGAUAUAAUAUCAGUCUACGAUGCUGAUAAAUAGCGAACGGACAAUAUAAGUUAUUAUUAUGUUAUAGACGUCUUAAGAGAAUUAUUAAAUAAAUCUGUUUAUACUUACA